RNAcentral lists this ribosomal RNA (492 nucleotides) under uncultured bacterium. Its description in RNAcentral is "partial 16S ribosomal RNA". It matches the Rfam family "Bacterial small subunit ribosomal RNA", at positions 29 to 507 of the family's 1533-position model. The record is from RNAcentral.
AGUGAACGCUGGCGGUAGGCCUAACACAUGCAAGUCGAACGGCAGCACAGUAAGAGCUUGCUCUUACGGGUGGCGAGUGGCGGACGGGUGAGGAAUACAUCGGAAUCUACUUUUUCGUGGGGGAUAACGUAGGGACACUUACGCUAAUACCGCAUACGACCUACGGGUGAAAGCAGGAGAUCUUCGGACCUUGCGCGAUUGAAUGAGCCGAUGUCGGAUUAGCUAGUUGGCGGGGUAAAGGCCCACCAAGGCGACGAUCCGUAGCUGGUCUGAGAGGAUGAUCAGCCACACUGGAACUGAGACACGGUCCAGACUCCUACGGGAGGCAGCAGUGGGGAAUAUUGGACAAUGGGCGAAAGCCUGAUCCAGCCAUACCGCGUGGGUGAAGAAGGCCUUCGGGUUGUAAAGCCCUUUUGUUGGGAAAGAAAAGCAGCAGGUUAAUACCCCGCUGUUCUGACGGUACCCAAAGAAUAAGCAACGGCUAACUUCGUG